RNAcentral lists this ribosomal RNA (433 nucleotides) under uncultured bacterium. RNAcentral's name for it is "partial 16S ribosomal RNA". It matches the Rfam family "Bacterial small subunit ribosomal RNA", at positions 29 to 507 of the family's 1533-position model. The record is from RNAcentral.
AACGAACGCUGGCGGCAUGCCUAACACAUGCCAGUCGAACGAGACCUUCGGGUCUAGUGGCGCACGGGUGCGUAACGCGUGGGAACCUGCCCUUAGGUUCGGAAUAACUCCCCGAAAGGGGUGCUAAUACCGGAUAAUGUCUUCGGACCAAAGAUUUAUCGCCUUUGGAUGGGCCCGCGUUGGAUUAGCUAGUUGGUAGGGAAAAAGCCUACCAAGGCGACGAUCCAUAGCUGGUCUGAGAGGAUGAUCAGCCACACUGGGACUGAGACACGGCCCAGACUCCUACGGGAGGCAGCAGUGGGGAAUAUUGGACAAUGGGCGAAAGCCUGAUCCAGCAAUGCCGCGUGAGUGAUGAAGGCCUUAGGGUUGUAAAGCUCUUUUACCCGGGAUGAUAAUGACAGUACCGGGAGAAUAAGCGCCGGCUAACUCCGUG